ACCGGCGCACGGGUGAGUAACACGCAUCCAACCUGCCGAUGACUCGGGGAUAGCCUUUCGAAAGAAAGAUUAAUACCCGAUGGCAUAGUUCUUCCGCAUGGUAGAACUAUUAAAGAGUUUCGGUCAUCGAUGGGGAUGCGUUCCAUUAGGUUGUUGGCGGGGUAACGGGCCCACCAAGCCUUCGAUGGAUAGGGGUUCUGAGAGGAAGGUCCCCCACAUUGGAACUGAGACACGGUCCAAACUCCUACGGGAGGCAGCAUG
RNAcentral lists this ribosomal RNA (261 nucleotides) under uncultured bacterium. RNAcentral describes it as "partial 16S ribosomal RNA". It matches the Rfam family "Bacterial small subunit ribosomal RNA", at positions 94 to 353 of the family's 1533-position model. The record is from RNAcentral.